RNAcentral lists this ribosomal RNA (253 nucleotides) under uncultured bacterium. RNAcentral's name for it is "partial 16S ribosomal RNA". It matches the Rfam family "Bacterial small subunit ribosomal RNA", at positions 524 to 776 of the family's 1533-position model. The record is from RNAcentral.
GACGAACCGCGCGAACGUUGUUCGGAAUCACUGGGCUUAAAGGGCGCGUAGGCGGGCUGUCAAGUCUGGGGUGAAAUCCCACGGCUCAACCGUGGAACUGCCUCAGAUACUGACGGCUUCGAGGGAGGUAGGGGCGAGCGGAACGGGUGGUGGAGCGGUGAAAUGCGUUGAUAUCACUCGGAACUCCGGUGGCGAAAGCGGGUCGCUGGACCUUUUCUGACGCUGAGGCGCGAAUGCUAGGGGAGCAAACGGG